Molecule: ribosomal RNA, 378 nt
Filed under: uncultured eukaryote
Lineage: Eukaryota
Description: partial 18S ribosomal RNA
Rfam family: Eukaryotic small subunit ribosomal RNA
Source: RNAcentral
CAAUAGCGUAUAUUUAAGUUGUUGCAGUUAAAAAGCUCGUAGUUGGAUUUCGGGUGGGACGCAGCGGUCUCGCAUUGAGUUUGUACUGCUGCAGCCCUCCUUCUUGCCGGGGGCGGCCUCUCGGACUUCACUGUCUGGGGGUCAGAAUCGGCGAUGUUACUUUGAGUAAAUUAGAGUGUUCAAAGCAAGCUUACGCUCUGAAUAUAAUAGCAUGGGAUAACACGACAGGACUCUGGCCUAUCGUGUUGGUCUAUAGGACCAGAGUAAUGAUUAAGAGGGACAGUCGGGGGCAUUCGUAUUCCGUUGUCAGAGGUGAAAUUCUUGGAUUUACGGAAGACGAACAUCUGCGAAAGCAUUUGCCAAGGAUGUUUNCAUUGA